ACACAGCCAACAAGUGCCACCUGAAGGUGGUCACGGACCUCAGGUUGUGGAUGUGGCAGACCUGCUUCACGCUCUCGGGCCUCCUCUGGGAGCUCAUCAGGACUAUGGGGGAUUGGGCAGAGGUGUUCCUGCUCCAGCGUGGCUCCUGGACUGGCGCCAGAUGCUGGCCCUGGGGGUUUCAAUCCAAGCAUAAUUCAGUGAAGCAUGUGUUUGGCAGUGGGACCCAGCUCACUGUUUUAGGUCAGCCCAAGACUACCCCGUCGGUCAUUCUGUUCCUGCCGUCCUGUGAGGAGCCCCAAGCCAACAAGGCCACACUGGUGUGUCUCAUGAAUAACUUUAUCCGGGAAUCUUGAUGGUGACCUGGAAGGCAGAUGGUACCCUCAUCACCCAGAGCGUGGAGAAGACCACGCCCUCCAAACAGAGCAACAACAAGUACGUGGCCAGCAGCUACCUGAGCCUGACGCCCGAGCAGUGGAGGUCCCGCAGAAGCUACAGCUGCCAGGUUAUGCAAGAAGGGAGCACCGUGGAGAAGUCAGUGGCCCCUGCAGAAUGUUCAUAGGUUCCAGCCCCCACCCCACCCACAGGGGCCUGGAGCUGCAGGAUCCCAGGGGAGGGGUCUCUCUCUGCAUCCCAAGCCAUUCAGCCCUUCUCGCUGUACCCAGUAAACCCUCAAUAAAUAUCUUUGUCAGCCAGAAA
Molecule: long non-coding RNA, 696 nt
Organism: Homo sapiens (human)
Lineage: Eukaryota; Metazoa; Chordata; Mammalia; Primates; Hominidae
Gene: GUSBP11
Product: GUSB pseudogene 11
Source: Ensembl